UCCGGCUUAUCACCGGCGGUUUCUUUAGAGUGCCCAACUAAAUGAUGGCAACUAAAGACGAGGGUUGCGCUCGUUGCGGGACUUAACCCAACAUCUCACGACACGAGCUGACGACAGCCAUGCAGCACCUGUCACCUGGCUCCCGAAGGCACCCCUCUGUUUCCAGAAGGUCCCAGGGAUGUCAAGCCUUGGUAAGGUUCUACGCGUAGCGUCAUAUUAAACCACAUGAUCCACCGCUUGUGCGGGUCCCCGUCAAUUCCUUUGAGUUUUAGCCUUGCGGCCGUACUUCCCAGGCGGCAUACUUAUCGCGUUAGCUUCGUCUCACAGGGGGUCGAUACCCCAUAAGACUAGUAUGCAUCGUUUACGGCGUGGACUAC
RNAcentral lists this unclassified non-coding RNA (377 nucleotides) under uncultured bacterium. RNAcentral's name for it is "contains 16S-23S intergenic spacer region". The record is from RNAcentral.